CUACUUUACACAGGCAACCCAAUUCUGAUCUUUUUCCACCUAUUGGUCUUUUACACAAGCACAUCAAAUCUUUUAAAAUCAGAUCUUUUUCAGAACUGAUCUGAUUGGUCAAAAGACCAAAAACAUAUAUUGGAAUUGGGCUGCCUGUGUAAAUGUAGCCGAUCGUUAUGUACAGUGUUGUUCUGAAUGAUGUACAGUGAGAGAAUUGUAGAGCAGAUGGUGUUAACAAACUGUUGCAUACCUGUGUUUAGCUCCAAUCAAGGCACAUAGUUUAUCUGGUGGUGCACACUGUUCAGUUGUGAGAGAAAAAUGUGGCCAUUCGCACAAUCUGAAAUGGCACCCUAUUUCAUAUAUAGUGGAGAGGAGUUGAGAGGUAGAGGAGUGGAGAGGAGAGGAAGAGGAGUGGAGAGGGAGAGGAGUGGAGAGGUAGAGGAGUGGAGAGGUAGAGGAGUGGAGAGGACUGGGAAGAGGAGCGGAGAGGUAGAGGAGUGGAGAUUAGAGGAAGAGGAGUGGAGAGGACUGGGAAGAGGAGCGGAGAGGUAGAGGAGUGGAGAGGACUGGGAAGAGGAGCGGAGGGGUAGAGGAGUGGAGAGGUAGAGGAGUGGAGAGGAAGAGGAGUGGAGAGGACUGGGAAGAGGAGCGGAGAGGUAGAGGAGUGGAGAGGAAGAGGAGUGGAGAGGACUGGGAAGAGGAGUGGAGAGGUAGAGGAGUGGAGAGGAAGAGGAGUGGAGAGGACUGGGAAGAGGAGUGGAGAGGUAGAGGAGUGGAGAGGAAGGGGAGUGGAGAGGUAGAGGAGUGGAGAGGUAGAGGAGUGGAGAGGAGUGGAGAG
This 829-nucleotide long non-coding RNA is filed under the name Salmo salar (Atlantic salmon). Its description in RNAcentral is "lncRNA (ENSSSAG00000103127.1)". Lineage: Eukaryota; Metazoa; Chordata; Actinopteri; Salmoniformes; Salmonidae. The record is from RNAcentral.